GACGAACGCUGGCGGCGUGCUUAACACAUGCAAGUCGAGCGGUAAGGCCCUUUCGGGGGUACACGAGCGGCGAACGGGUGAGUAACACGUGGGUGACCUGCCCUCAGCUCUGGGAUAAGCCUGGGAAAACCGGGUCUAAUACCGGAUAUGACUCCAUGACGCAUGUUGUGGGGUGGAAAGCCUUGUGCGGCUGAGGAUGGGCCCGCGGCCUAUCAGCUUGUUGGUGGGGUGANGGCCUACCAAGGCGACGACGGUAGCCGGCCUGAGAGGCGACCGGCCACACUGGGACUGAGACACGGCCCAGACUCCUACGGGAGGCAGCAGUGGGGAAUCUUGCGCAAUGGGCGAAAGCCUGACGCAGCGACGCCGCGUGAGGGAUGACGGCCUCGGUU
This 392-nucleotide ribosomal RNA is filed under the name uncultured bacterium. RNAcentral describes it as "bacterial SSU rRNA". It matches the Rfam family "Bacterial small subunit ribosomal RNA", at positions 28 to 424 of the family's 1533-position model. The record is from RNAcentral.